UACGUAGGGUGCGAGCGUUAAUCGGAAUUACUGGGCGUAAAGCGUGCGCAGGCGGUUUGAUAAGCCAGAUGUGAAAUCCCCGAGCUCAACUUGGGAACUGCGUUUGGAACUGUUAGGCUAGAGUGCGUCAGAGGGGGGUGGAAUUCCGCGUGUAGCAGUGAAAUGCGUAGAGAUGCGGAGGAACACCGAUGGCGAAGGCAGCCCCCUGGGAUGACACUGACGCUCAUGCACGAAAGCGUGGGGAGCAAACAGG
RNAcentral lists this ribosomal RNA (253 nucleotides) under uncultured bacterium. RNAcentral's name for it is "partial 16S ribosomal RNA". It matches the Rfam family "Bacterial small subunit ribosomal RNA", at positions 524 to 776 of the family's 1533-position model. The record is from RNAcentral.